This 461-nucleotide ribosomal RNA is filed under the name uncultured bacterium. RNAcentral describes it as "bacterial SSU rRNA". It matches the Rfam family "Bacterial small subunit ribosomal RNA", at positions 46 to 507 of the family's 1533-position model. The record is from RNAcentral.
GCCUAACACAUGCAAGUCAACUUGACGGAAGGAGCAAUCUGACCGUAGAGUGGCGCAAGGGUGCGUAACGCGUAAGUAACUUGCCCAAGGUAAGGAAUAACGUCGAGAAAUCGGCGCUAAUACCUCAUAAUGCAGCGGAUCCGCAUGGAUAUGUUGUUAAAGGUUUACCGCCUUGGGAUAGGCUUGCGUCUGAUUAGCUAGUUGGUGUGGUAACGGCACACCAAGGCUACGAUCAGUAACUGGUCUGAGAGGAUGAUCAGUCACGCUGGAACUGAGACACGGUCCAGACUCCUACGGGAGGCAGCAGUGAGGAAUAUUGGGCAAUGCUCGAAAGAGUGACCCAGCAACGCCGCGUGGAGGAUGAAGGUAUUCUAUAUCGUAAACUCCUGUGAGAGCAGACGAAAGACAGAUUAUUAAUCUGGAUGACUGUAUGCUCAGAGGAAGCCCCGGCUAACUACGUG